This 497-nucleotide ribosomal RNA is filed under the name uncultured bacterium. Its description in RNAcentral is "partial 16S ribosomal RNA". It matches the Rfam family "Bacterial small subunit ribosomal RNA", at positions 29 to 523 of the family's 1533-position model. The record is from RNAcentral.
AGUGAACGCUGGCGGCGUGCCUAAUACAUGCAAGUCGAACGCGAAAGUCCUUCGGGAUGAGUAAAGUGGCGCACGGGUGAGUAAUACAUGGGAACAUGCCCUUGGAUGGGGAAUAACGUUUGGAAACGAACGCUAAUACCGCAUAAUCUCGCGAGAGUAAAGGUGGCGCCGCAAGGGCUACCGUCCAAGGAUUGGCCCAUGUCCCAUUAGCUAGUUGGCGGGGUAAGGGCCCACCAAGGCAACGAUGGGUAUGUGGUCUGAGAGGAUGAUCACACACACUGGAACUGAGCCACGGUCCAGACUCCUACGGGAGGCAGCAGUAGGGAAUAUUGCACAAUGGGGGAAACCCUGAUGCAGCAACGCCGCGUGAGUGAAGAAGGCCCUUGGGUUGUAAAGCUCUUUAGCGUGGGAAGAAGGUAGAUACGGUGAAUAAUCGUGUUUGCUGACGGUACCACGAGAAUAAGCACCGGCUAAUUUCGUGCCAGCAGCCGCGGUAA